Marmota monax (woodchuck) is the source of this 3151-nucleotide long non-coding RNA. RefSeq lists it as uncharacterized. NCBI's taxonomy places the organism in Eukaryota, Metazoa, Chordata, Mammalia, Rodentia, Sciuridae. The record is from RefSeq and is a predicted model, not a curated record. The transcript is spliced from 4 exons.
UCUCUGGUCAACUAGGUUUGUUUAUGGCGCCUUGUCUGUUGUGUGUCUCACUGUUGGUCUCAGUCUCAUUAUGGGUCAAAAUCCGUCCACUUCAUGUUCGUUUUGUAAACCCCUUAAAUGUUUUUUGUCUAACUUUAAAGAGUUUUCAAAGAGAAUAACUAAUGAUAAAACAUCAUGUAAUGCUUCCUCUCUCAGAAAACUUUGUGAAUUAGACUGGUCAGGCUUUAAGUCGGAUGGCCCCCAGAAGGGAUUACCGGCCUCUCCACCGCCUAUCAAGUUCAUAGAGUCAUCUCCGGGUGGCCUGGCCAUCCAGAUCAGUUGCCCUAUAUACAGAUUUGGAUUGAAAUCCUCCUAGAAGAGCCAAGAUGGUUAAGAUUUUGCCUUACAGGAACAGCUAAAAAACCAAAACCAAAACUUGUCUUGCUAACAAAACCUUCCUCCCUGAAGAAGAGUCCAACAAGAGAGCUCCUAGGACCUGGAUCUUCCUCCUCUGGAUCCCUCUGUUCCUCAGGUAUGGAGGUGACUGAUCAGUACGCCAGGCUCCACUGAGAGAGAUCAAAGCAGCCAGUAGAAACCCCACCAAUUUGGCAAAGGUUGCGGGGAAGCUACUAUCCUGAUCCCCUGUCAAUCAGCCUAAAACACGCCAUUGCUGCCUGUCCAGAAACCUGAGACAAAAGACUACGGACUGGAACAGGACCUAAAAGAAGUCAACAGGAUGGAAAGCAUUCAUCCCAUAGUACCAAAUCCCUACACUCUUCUCAGUUCAUUGCCUCCUUUUCGCCAAGUGUACACUUUCCUGGAUCUCAGAGAUGCCUUCUUCAACUUGCCAUCAGCUAAGCUAAGCCAACCAAUUUUUACUUCUAAAUAGUCAGAUCCAGACGGGAGAUUUUUAGGACAAUUGACUUGGACACAGUUGCCAUAAGGAUUUAAAAACUCUCCAACUCUAUUUGAUGAGUCCCUAAGCUGGGACCUCACAGCUUACAGGCAGCAACACCCUGAGACUGAACUUUUACAAUAUGUAAAUGAUCUCCUGACAGCAACCCAAACUAUGACUAAAUGUGAACAGGCCACCAACAACUUGUUAAAAACCUUAGGGUACCGGGUGUCAGCUAGAAAGGCCCAAUUGUGCACCUCAACAGCCACCUACUUGGGCUACCACCUGAAAGAAGGAAAAAGGAUUCUGUCGCAGGACAGAAUUAAAGCAAUCAUGCAGAUUCCUCGCCCCAAGACUAAGUGUCAGGUACGAGAAUUCCUCGGGGCCAUUAGGUAUUGCCACCUUUAGAUCCUUGGUUUUGCUGAACUAGCCCAGCCCUUGUAUGUUAGUACAGGGGGGAAAAAGGACUCUCUGACUUGGACUGAAAAAACAAAAACAAACAAACAGACAAACAAAAACAAGAGACAUUUGACAAACUGAAGCAAGCCCUAGUCUCUGCUCCUGCAUUGGACCUCUCAGAUGUUCUGAAGCCAUUUCAGCUGUUUGUACAUGAAAUCAGGGGAAUAGCCAAAGGAUGCAAACUCAGACUUUGGGGCCAUGGAAACAUCUAUCCAAAAGACUGGACUAUGUUGGGGCAGGAUGGCCAAACUGCCUCUGAGCCAUCGCUGCCACAGCAAUCCUGGUUAAGGAGGCAGAUAAGCUUACGUUGGGGCAAGAUUUAUAGGUGGUAGCUCCACAUGUGGAAAUCUUACUCUGGAGCCCUCCAGAGCACUGGCUCUCCAACGCUCGUACCACCCCACACCAGGCCCUUCUUCCAGACCAGCCCAGAAAAAAAUUCCUAAAAACUUCAGCUUUUCACCCUCAUCCUGAUGAUGAUCCCUCUAGGCCACUGCACGACUGCCAGGAAAUCUUGGAGUUGACUCCAGAAUGUCCAGUGGGACCUGAUGGACACACCGUGGCCAGACCCAGAUGAGACAUGCUACUCUGAUGGCAAUAGCUACGUCCAAAAUGGAAUCAGUCCUCACAGGCUCUCCAGCAAGCCUCCCACAGACUCAGGCUUUAACAAAGAGUCCGGCAGCUAGCUGCAGGAGAGAACUUCACUCACCUAUUCCAGCCGAGCCAUUAUCCAUUCACCUUGGAACCUCGCGGGCACAGACCCUUUCCAGCCAUCCUGACCACUUCUACUGCUGUAAAAGUCACUGGAAAACAACAUUGGAUUCAUCACUCCCAAAUCAAGAAGCCAGCUCCAACAGAAGAUACAGCCGAGGACAACCGACGAUGAACAGUACCCUAGAUUUUUACUUUCUGUUUUUGUUUCCCUUUCAGACAUGCACACUGCACACAGCGGUACUUGGAAAUUCUUGAGGCCAGAAAAAGACAGGAAGCCUGCUUCUAAAGAUUAGACUGCUGGUCCUUGAAAAAUAUGAUUAUGACAUGGUCAACUUAGAUAACACGAAACUUAAAUAAACAAUGAUUUGAUUUAGUCUCAUAAAACCAGUGGGGAAUGUUGUGGUGUGAACUGAUAAGUACAAUCAAUAAGAGUGUAAGUUAUAGGUUCUAGAUUAGUAAAAAAUAUAGAUUAGAGAUAUAAGAUUUUGUUAAGUGAGAUAAGACAAUUAUUAAGCAAGAGCUGUCAUAGACAGCCCUAAGACUCCAUUGUGCUGCCUUCUAUAAAACACUGUUACAAGAGCUGUUUCUGAGAAACUGAAAUAAAGGCUGUUUUCUUAUAAUGUAUUGUUUUCUGUACUUAGUACCCUACAAAAUGUAUUCAACCCAGGAUAUAGUGGCCUUGGUGAUCCAAGACUUUGCACUAGAUUCUCGCCCCCUACUAACCACCUGCUUAAACUCAGGAUAUGGUUGUCUAACACUUGCUCAAGUCCAAGAUGCGAUUGUCUUGAGUUGCUGUGCUAAUUGCUAUCUUAGCUUCUAUGAUUGACUUGCUUGCAUGAUGCUAAGGAAAGUCCCUGAGCUGUGGUUUUUGUCCUUAAAUUCCCAAGCCACAGGCUAGGAAAUUGCUGUUCUCUUACAUAGUUUCAAUCUCUAUGGGUGGGUGACAGUCCCUGGCCAGGUAAAUAAAGAUCUCUUUGAUUUGAAUUCGGACUUAGAGUGUUUUCUGAGGCAGCUCUCCAUAACACUAAGCUUGAUGUAAUGGUGUAAACAAUACAGUUUCACUUUGUCUUUUAAAAAUGCUGCAUAAAUAAAAUCAAACUACAUGCA